GACGAACGCUGGCGGCGUGCUUAACAUAUGCAAGUCGAACGGUAAGGCCCUUCGGGGUACACGAGUGGCGAACGGGUGAGUAACACGUGGGUGAUCUGCCCUGCACUUCUGGAUAAGCCUGGGAAACUGGGUCUAAUACCGGAUAGGACCACUGCCUACAUGGGUGGUGGUGGAAAGCUUUUGCGGUGUGGGAUGGGCCCGCGGCCUAUCAGCUUGUUGGUGGGGUGAUGGCCUACCAAGGCGACGACGGGUAGCCGGCCUGAGAGGGUGACCGGCCACACUGGGACUGAGAUACGACCCAGACUCCUACGGGAGGCAGCAGUGGGGAAUAUUGCACAAUGGGCGCAAGCCUGAUGCAGCGACGCCGCGUGAGGGAUGACGGCCUUCGGGUUGUAAACCUCUUUCAGCACCGACGAAGCGCAAGUGACGGUAGGUGCAGAAGAAGGACCGGCCAACUACGUGCCAGCCGCCGCGGUAA
RNAcentral lists this ribosomal RNA (478 nucleotides) under uncultured bacterium. RNAcentral describes it as "partial 16S ribosomal RNA". It matches the Rfam family "Bacterial small subunit ribosomal RNA", at positions 28 to 523 of the family's 1533-position model. The record is from RNAcentral.